RNAcentral lists this long non-coding RNA (225 nucleotides) under Mytilus galloprovincialis (Mediterranean mussel). Lineage: Eukaryota; Metazoa; Mollusca; Bivalvia; Mytilida; Mytilidae. The record is from RNAcentral.
UUUGAUUUUUAUGGGGGGGGGGAUAGGAUGAAAUUUGAAAAAAAUAGGCAGGACAGGAGUUUUGAGUAAAAAAAAAGGCAGGAUGAGCAACUUGGUAAAAAAAAAAAAGGUAGGAUGACAAUUUGUGUAAAAAAAGUCAGGAUAAACUAGUAAAAAAAAAGGCAGGACCAAAUAGAGUAAAAAAUAAAAAGGCAGGACAGGGAUUACAACUAAAAAAAAGCAGGA